Molecule: small RNA, 28 nt
Filed under: Bombyx mori (domestic silkworm)
Lineage: Eukaryota; Metazoa; Arthropoda; Insecta; Lepidoptera; Bombycidae
Description: piRNA piR-bmo-1521400
Source: RNAcentral
UAAGCGUGAGAAAUGACUAGCUCUUCGA